RNAcentral lists this ribosomal RNA (458 nucleotides) under uncultured bacterium. RNAcentral's name for it is "partial 16S ribosomal RNA". It matches the Rfam family "Bacterial small subunit ribosomal RNA", at positions 338 to 795 of the family's 1533-position model. The record is from RNAcentral.
CCUACGGGAGGCAGCAGUGGGGAAUAUUGCACAAUGGGGGAAACCCUGAUGCAGCGACGCCGCGUGAGGGAAGAAGUAAUUCGUUACGUAAAGCUCUAUAAGCAGGGAAGAAACACUGACCUUACGGUCAGCAGACGGUACCUGAGUAAGAAGCAGCGGCUACAUACGUGCCAGCAGCCGCGGCAAUACGGAGGGGGCAAGCGUUAACCGGAUUUACUGGGUGUAAAGGCAGCGUAGACGGUGCGCCAAGUCUGGAGUGAAAGGCCGCAGCUUAACUGGAGAACUGCUUUGGAAACUGGCGAACUAGAGUGCGGGAGGGGUAAGCGGAAUUCCUGGUGUAGCGGUAAAAUGCGUAGAUAUUAGGAAGAACACCAGUGGCGAAGGCGACUUGCUGGACAGUAACUGACGUUGAGGCUCGAAAGCGUGGGGAGCAAACAGGAUUAGAUACCCCUGUAGUC